CCUACGGGGGGCUGCAGUGGGGAAUAUUGCACAAUGGGCGCAAGCCUGAUGCAGCCAUGCCGCGUGUGUGAAGAAGGCCUUCGGGUUGUAAAGCACUUUCAGCGGGGAGGAAGGCGUUAAGGUUAAUAACCUUGGCGAUUGACGUUACCCGCAGCAGAAGCACCGGCUAACUCCGUGCCAGCAGCCGCGGUAAUACGGAGGGUGCAAGCGUUAAUCGGAAUUACUGGGCGUAAAGCGCACGCAGGCGGUCUGUCAAGUCGGAUGUGGAAUCCCCGGGCUCAACCUGGGAACUGCAUUCGAAACUGGCAGGCUAGAGUCUUGUAGAGGGGGGUAGAAUUCCAGGUGUAGCGGUGAAAUGCGUAGAGAUCUGGAGGAAUACCGGUGGCGAAGGCGGCCCCCUGGACAAAGACUGACGCUCAGGUGCGAAAGCGUGGGGAGCAAACAGGAUUAGAUACCCUAGUAGUC
Molecule: ribosomal RNA, 465 nt
Filed under: uncultured Klebsiella sp.
Lineage: Bacteria; Pseudomonadati; Pseudomonadota; Gammaproteobacteria; Enterobacterales; Enterobacteriaceae
Description: bacterial SSU rRNA
Rfam family: Bacterial small subunit ribosomal RNA
Source: RNAcentral